CGGUCCCACCUGACCCCAUGCCGAACUCAGAAGUGAAACGCCGUAGCGCCGAUGGUAGUGUGGGGUCUCCCCAUGCGAGAGUAGGGAACUGCCAGGC
RNAcentral lists this ribosomal RNA (97 nucleotides) under Escherichia coli. The record is from RNAcentral. Lineage: Bacteria; Pseudomonadati; Pseudomonadota; Gammaproteobacteria; Enterobacterales; Enterobacteriaceae.